UACGUAGGGUGCGAGCGUUAAUCGGAAUUACUGGGCGUAAAGCGUGCGCAGGCGGUUCUGAAAGUCAGCUGUGAAAGCCCCGGGCUUAACCUGGGAAUUGCGGUUGAAACUACAGGGCUAGAAUCUGGCAGAGGGGGGUGGAAUUCCACGUGUAGCAGUGAAAUGCGUAGAGAUGUGGAGGAACACCGAUGGCGAAGGCAGCCCCCUGGGCUGAGAUUGACGCUCAGGCACGAAAGCGUGGGGAGCGAACAGG
This 253-nucleotide ribosomal RNA is filed under the name uncultured bacterium. RNAcentral's name for it is "partial 16S ribosomal RNA". It matches the Rfam family "Bacterial small subunit ribosomal RNA", at positions 524 to 776 of the family's 1533-position model. The record is from RNAcentral.